GUGCAAAAGGCUGGUGGGGUCGUGGUUGCGUUAGGUUUCUGGAAUUCCCCCCUUUCCCCAUCCCCGGUCUUCCUUCUCGACACUGGAAGAAUUCACCCCGCAGAAGCACUUUUCCUUCAGGUUUUGAAUCUCCAGCCACAAGAGAAUCACUGGGAGGAAAGAAGAAGUGCCUGGUCUGGGGAUUAUUUUGACAGAGUCUGAACAAAAUUGGCGCUGAUCCAGUAAACACAGAGACAGAGCAUCUCUGCGUCAGGCAGUGUCCUAAGGAACAAAGAAAAUGAUCAAAGCUCAGAACUCAGUGACACCCAGCGACGUGGCUAUAAAGUUCACCUGGGAG
Long non-coding RNA from Echinops telfairi (small Madagascar hedgehog), 337 nucleotides. RefSeq lists it as uncharacterized. The transcript has 3 exons. NCBI's taxonomy places the organism in Eukaryota, Metazoa, Chordata, Mammalia, Afrosoricida, Tenrecidae. The record is from RefSeq and is a predicted model, not a curated record.